This 165-nucleotide ribosomal RNA is filed under the name Triticum aestivum (bread wheat). Its description in RNAcentral is "partial small subunit ribosomal RNA". The record is from RNAcentral. Lineage: Eukaryota; Viridiplantae; Streptophyta; Magnoliopsida; Poales; Poaceae.
UACCGCCGCCGCUUCCGCCGCAACCUCUUCUACUCCCGCAAGACCCUGAGUGUCACGUUGUUGCUCCUCUUGACCCGCCAGUUGAUAUUCCACGAUUUCCGACGACCAUAUAAACGACCUAGACAGAAGGACUACGUGUUGAAACCGGUAUUAUACCAAUAGAUU